CGUGAUGUGUAUCGAAAUACAAGUAGAGAAGUCCGUGAGCCGGCUGUCAAGAAAAGCCGCUAUUGUUUCAUAAGUACCCGUACCGUAAACCGACACAGGUGGAUGAGGAGAGAAUCCUAAGGCCGGCGGGAGAAGCAUUGUCAAGGAACUCGGCAAAAUGACCCCGUAACUUCGGGAGAAGGGGUGCCACCGCGAGGUGGCCGCAGAGAAUAGGCUCAAGCAACUGUUUAGCAAAAACACAGGUCUAUGCAAAACCGAAAGGUGAAGUAUAUGGGCUGACGCCUGCCCGGUGCUGGAAGGUUAAGAGGAGAGGUUAGCGUAAGCGAAGCUUUGAAUUUAAGCCCCAGUAAACGGCGGCCGUAACUAUAACGGUCCUAAGGUAGCGAAAUUCCUUGUCGGGUAAGUUCCGACCCGCACGAAAGGCGUAAUGAUUUGAGCGCUGUCUCGACAAUGCACCCGGUGAAAUUGAAGUACCAGUGAAGAUGCUGGUUACCUGCGCCAGGACGGAAAGACCCCAUGGAGCUUUACUCCAGUUUGAUACUGGGAUCCGGUGCUGUAUGUACAGGAUAGGCGGGAGACUAUGAGACAUGGACGCCAGUCUAUGUGGAGUCGUUGUUGGGAUACCGCCCUUACAGUACUGGGUUUCUAACCUGCGGCCGUAAUCCGGCCGGGGGACAAUGUCUGACGGGGAGUUUGACUGGGGCGGUCGCCUCCGAAAGGGUAUCGGAGGCGCUCAAAGGUUCCCUCAGAAUGGUCGGAAACCAUUCGAAGAGUGCAAAGGUAUAAGGGAGCUUGACUGCGACACCGACGGGUGGAGCAGGUACGAAAGUAGGACUUAGUGAUCCGGUGGUAUAAAGUGGGAUUGCCAUCGCUCAACGGAUAAAAGCUACCCUGGGGAUAACAGGCUUAUCACUCCCAAGAGUUCACAUCGACGGAGUGGUUUGGCACCUCGAUGUCGGCUCAUCGCAUCCUGGGGCUGUAGCAGGUCCCAAGGGUUGGGCUGUUCGCCCAUUAAAGCGGUACGCGAGCUGGGUUCAGAACGUCGUGAGACAGUUCGGUCCCUAUCCGGCGCAGGCGAAGGAUAUUUGAGAGGAGCUGCCCUUAGUACGAGAGGACCGGGGUGGACGGACCGCUGGUGUAUCUGUUGGAGACCAACUCCAUGGCAGAGUAGCCAAGUCCGGCAGGGAUAAACGCUGAAGGCAUCUAAGCGUGAAGCCCCCCUCAAGAUGAGAUAUCCCAUUUCUUUAAGAAAGUAAGACCCCUUGAAGACUACAAGGUAGAUAGGAGUGAGGUGUAAGCAUGGUAACAUGUUCAGCUGACGCUUACUAAUCGGUCGAGGGCUUUUCCA
This 1348-nucleotide ribosomal RNA is filed under the name Lachnospiraceae bacterium G11. Its description in RNAcentral is "bacterial LSU rRNA". It matches the Rfam family "Bacterial large subunit ribosomal RNA", at positions 1562 to 2925 of the family's 2925-position model. Lineage: Bacteria; Bacillati; Bacillota; Clostridia; Lachnospirales; Lachnospiraceae. The record is from RNAcentral.